AGAGCGUAGGCAGGAAACCAAUCAAUACCUGACGCUGAGGCACGAAAGCUAGGGGAGAGAAGCAGAUUAGAGACCUGCGUAUUCCUAGCUGUAAACGCAUGAGUGCUAGUUGUCCGGCCGUAAGGCUGGAUGACGCAAGUUAACACGUUAAGCACUCCGCCUGGGGAGUACGGCCGCAAGGCUAAAACUCAAAGGAAUUGGCGGGGACCCGCACAACCGGUGGAGCAUGUGGUUUAAUUCGAGACGAAGCGAAAGACCUCACCACGGUUUGACAUGCUACCGUUUAAUCUGAUAGAAACAUCGGAAGAUCCCGAUUUAUCGGGAUGGUAGCAAAGCUGCUGCAUGGCUGUCGUCAGCUCGUUCCGUGAGGAGUUCCCUUAAGUGGGGUAACGAGCGCAACCCUUGCCGUUUGUUAAAUAUUCAAACGGGACGGUCCCGACGUACGUCGGGAAGGAAGGUGAGGACGACGUCAAGUCAGCACGGCGCUUAUGCCGUGGGCGACACACAUCCUACAAUGGCGAAAAACAGCGGGUUGCAACCUCGUGAGGGGAAGCAAAUCCCUGAAAUUUCGUCUCAGUUGGGAUUGGAGUCUGCAACUCGACUCCAUGAACGCGGAAUCGGUAGUAAUCGCGGAUCAGCAGGUCGCGGUGAAUACGUUCUCGGGUCUUGCACACACCGCCCGUCAAGCCAACAAAGUCGUGGGCGGCCGAAGCUCCCCCGCAUCGCGGGGGAAUUAAGCCGAAUUCGGCGAUGGGGACUAAGUCGUAACAAGGUAUCUGUACUGGAAGGUGCAGAUG
RNAcentral lists this ribosomal RNA (797 nucleotides) under Candidatus Gottesmanbacteria bacterium RIFCSPHIGHO2_12_FULL_40_13. RNAcentral's name for it is "bacterial SSU rRNA". It matches the Rfam family "Bacterial small subunit ribosomal RNA", at positions 708 to 1520 of the family's 1533-position model. The record is from RNAcentral. Lineage: Bacteria; Candidatus Gottesmaniibacteriota.